AUUGAACGCUGGCGGAAUGCUUUACACAUGCAAGUCGAACGGCAGCACGGACUUCGGUCUGGUGGCGAGUGGCGAACGGGUGAGUAAUGUAUCGGAACGUGCCCAGUCGUGGGGGAUAACGUAGUGAAAAUUACGCUAAUACCGCAUACGAUCUAUGGAUGAAAGCGGGGGAUCGCAAGACCUCGCGCGAUUGGAGCGGCCGAUAUCAGAUUAGGUAGUUGGUGGGGUAAAGGCCCACCAAGCCAACGAUCUGUAGCUGGUCGGAGAGGACGACCAGCCACACUGGAACUGAGACACGGUCCAGACUCGUACGGGAGGCAGCAGUGGGGAAUUUUGGACAAUGGGCGAAAGCCUGAUCCAGCCAUUCCGCGUGCAGGAUGAAGGCCCUCGGGUUGUAAGCUGCUUUUGUACAGAACGAAAAGGUUUCUACUAAUACUAGGAGCUCAUGACGGUACUGUAAGAAUAAGCACCGGCUAACUACGUGCCAGCCGCCGCCGUAA
This 500-nucleotide ribosomal RNA is filed under the name uncultured bacterium. RNAcentral describes it as "partial 16S ribosomal RNA". It matches the Rfam family "Bacterial small subunit ribosomal RNA", at positions 30 to 523 of the family's 1533-position model. The record is from RNAcentral.